Molecule: ribosomal RNA, 427 nt
Filed under: uncultured bacterium
Lineage: Bacteria
Description: partial 16S ribosomal RNA
Rfam family: Bacterial small subunit ribosomal RNA
Source: RNAcentral
UGGGGAAUAUUGCACAAUGGGCGCAAGCCUGAUGCAGCCAUGCCGCGUGUAUGAAGAAGGCCUUCGGGUUGUAAAGUACUUUCAGCGGGGAGGAAGGCGAUAAGGUUAAUAACCUUGUCGAUUGACGUUACCCGCAGAAGAAGCACCGGCUAACUCCGUGCCAGCAGCCGCGGUAAUACGGAGGGUGCAAGCGUUAAUCGGAAUUACUGGGCGUAAAGCGCACGCAGGCGGUCUGUCAAGUCGGAUGUGAAAUCCCCGGGCUCAACCUGGGAACUGCAUUCGAAACUGGCAGGCUAGAGUCUUGUAGAGGGGGGUAGAAUUCCAGGUGUAGCGGUGAAAUGCGUAGAGAUCUGGAGGAAUACUGGUGGCGAAGGCGGCCCCCUGGACAAAGACUGACGCUCAGGUGCGAAAGCGUGGGGAGCAAACA